Molecule: ribosomal RNA, 253 nt
Filed under: uncultured bacterium
Lineage: Bacteria
Description: partial 16S ribosomal RNA
Rfam family: Bacterial small subunit ribosomal RNA
Source: RNAcentral
UACGUAGGGGGCAAGCGUUGUCCGGAAUCAUUGGGCGUAAAGCGCGCGUAGGCGGCCCGGUAAGUCCGUUGUAAAAGUCAAAGGCUCAACCUUUGAAAGCCGAUGGAUACUGCCGGGCUAGAGUCCGGAAGAGGCGAGUAGAAUUCCUGGUGUAGCGGUGGAAUGCGCAGAUAUCAGGAGGAAUACCCAUAGCGAAGGCAGCUCGCUGGGACGGUACUGACACUGAGGAGCGAAAGCGUGGGGAGCGAACAGG